This 13246-nucleotide long non-coding RNA is filed under the name Lactuca sativa (garden lettuce). RNAcentral's name for it is "long non-coding RNA (LSAT_LNC002235)". The record is from RNAcentral. Lineage: Eukaryota; Viridiplantae; Streptophyta; Magnoliopsida; Asterales; Asteraceae.
AUUGAAACUAUUCAAUGGCAUGUUUAAAUCUCGAUAUGCCCCUCUUGUUUGUGACUGGGAUACCGAGGAUCACAAAGCGGGUGUGAAUUACCAUGCAAAUUCACAUGGUGCCUUCAUUGUAACGAUCACCUAUUCGAUGUGCCGGUAAACCACACACGCUCCAUCGAACUAUGAUAAACAAUGAAUCACCCUUUGCCACCUUUGCUUAGAACCAAUUAGUGUGCCGGUAAACCACACACGCUCCACUAACUUCUUAGCAAUGGUGCAAAGUGUAAUUUCAUGGGAUUGCAUCAAUUCACUUUUCCUAAAGUAACUAAGUUUGGGGAAUUUUUUUAAAAAAAAUGUGUAGUUACUUUUUAUUACUUAUCAUACUUUUAAUGAGAGGAUGAGGUUGCCCUAUCCUACCCGUUCGGCUAACGACCCUCCACCAAUCAAGCAAGCGGUGGGUGUGAGUGUACACCCAUUAAGCGCCAUUUUAUAGGCCGCAACCUUAUACCCACCUUAUAGAUCGGCUUCGUGAAUGAGGCCUACUAACGGUAAGACUAGCAUUUAGUUAUACAUAUAUAUAUAUUUCUAGUAAUAUCAUAUUAGUAUAGGGUUGUAUUUUAAAACUUUUAAAAUCUAGGGUUUGAAAUUUAAGUUGUCUAAAUUAAAACUUUUAAUCACAAAUAUAAAUUUCAAAACUUGAGGGCAAGUUUUAAACAUUUAAAACAUGGAGGAUCAAAUAACAAAUAAUUCCAAUUAACAAUUAAUAUCCUAAUUAUCUAUAUUUGAUUUUAUUCAAGAUUUCUUUGAAAGAUAAUUACCAAAAUAAUUAAAAUAAUUAAUUAAUUAUCAUAUAAGGAAAUUAAAUAUUUUAUUAGUUGAUAAAUACCUUUAACUAGAUCAAGAUAAUAGUCAUAUAUAUCAAAAAAUCGGAUUUAGGUUGAUCUAUUAUGAUUAAGGUAAGUUUCCAUAAGAUAAUUAUGAAAAAAUCCCGAAUCUGGCCAUUCCUGACGCCUGGACUCGCCGAGUGCACAAAGGGACUCGCCGAGUCAGGCCUACUCGCCGAGUCCACUUUGGAACUCGCCGAGUCCAUGACUCAGAAACCAAAAAAUCGAAUUUUGCAGGUUUGUUUCAGUUAAUCAAGCAACAAUUUAAAGAAAACCAAGCUAGGCUCUGAUACCACUGAUGGGUUUUAGCCAUAAGAACUUUCCUAUGUGCGCAUGCAAAACCCUAAUGCUUGGAUCUAGGCUUUCUAAUUAAACAUGCUUUGAAUCCAAGACUUCUAAUGACUAUUUAGGUGUAAUAACAAUAUUGAAACAAAUCUAGAAUCAUACCUUUUAAUUCCUUGUUGAUCUUGUUGUCUUGGAGCUUCUAGAGUCACAAUUGUCACUCCUCUAAUGGCUUACAAACACCAAAUAGCAAGGAGGAUGAUUUGGGAGAGAGGAGAGGGGAGGAAAUCGGCCAGGGUUUCUAUGCUUUAGAUGAAGUGCCGAUUUCCCUUAGCCAUAGGGUCUAUUUAUACUUGUAGACUCCUUAAGGGUUACAACCUAAACCCUAAUUGGAUAAUCUUCUCUUAAGGCUAUCCAAAUCCAUUCCUUAGAUAACUCUUGGACGAUUUGAGCUAUCCUUUAGCUUCUAGAAUCCGUCCAAUCCAUAUCUAUAUGGAUUUACAGUCUAAAGUUUAACUAUCAAACAAUUGACAGUUUAUACCCUCUUAUUUAAUUAAUCUCUUUAAGUCACCAAAUUAAUUCCAAUUAAUUCUAUGACUUAUAUUAAUCAAAUAACAAUAUAUUAUUCUUUAUAUUAUUCUCAUAAUAUACUAAUAAUAUUUACUCUCUCUUAAUAAAUCAUCCUAUCAAGUUGCUAUGGUGAAGGCAACCCAAAAGGACCAUGCACAACCGGGUCAAAUACUUGUCUAAUAUAGUUGCGGCCUUAGACACUAUUCCAGCAAUCAAAUAUUCCCAAGGCUACAAGCAUCACAUAUCAGGCCAAUCUAUUGCUGACUACUCAACGCUAGCAUGCAAGUCUACCAGCUCAUGCAACAUAUAAAGGCAUCUACCCUAACCCGAACUAGCAUGUGAUUCUCAGAUUCAUUAAUCAAUUCAUAAUAGAUAACAUAUAUGGGUAUUAUGGGGAAACUUACUUGAGCUCGGUUGAUUGCAUGCACCACACCCUUUCUUGUCUUAUAAACUCUUUCCUUAAAACAAUUUUCUUUUGAAAACUUUACAGAUCCUCAGUUUGAGUUCAGACACACUCGAAAGUAUGUCCGAAUCCCUCAAACCAAGGCUCUGAUACUAACUUGUAACGACCCAAAAAUCAAGGGUAAAAAUUUUAUUUUUAAUAUAGUCAAAAUAUAGAUAUCAUUUAUUCCAAACAUCUAAAACAUCGUUAAUGAAAAACAUUUAUCAGAGUUCAUCCCAAAAUCAUUCAACGCGGAAAACAUAGGUGCGUGUUGCAAUCAAUCCGAGCCCUUCUUUUCCAAAUCGAUGAUACCUAAAACCAAUAAACAAAACUGUAAACACGAAGUUUAGUGAGUUCCCUAGAGCAUACCCCACACAGUCCACAUAAUCACAUAAUCUGUAUUAGCUAUAAAAGCUACAUAAACCAUAUCUAUCACAUAUCAACAUAUACGGAUGUUGUGGCUCGUCCCUAGGGUCUUACUCCAGAAUGCCAUGGCUCUCCACAUCAAGUUUUGGAAUUUAAAUUUUUGAUCUAGAAGGUUUUAAAAAGUUGCAAGACUUGCCAUCAAGUUUUGGAAUUUAAAUUUUUGAUUAAAAGUUUAAUUUUGAAAUAUUUAAAUUCUAAAACCCUAGUAAUUUGAAAAGUUUCAAAAAUGUGCCUGAUGGUUUUGUAAUUUAAAAUUUAAUUAAAUACAUUUAAUUGUGAAAUCUUAAAUUUAGAACCUUAAUGUUUAGAAUAGUUCAAAUUACACCCUUAUGGUUUUAUUAAGUUAAUUAAAAGUUUAAUUAAAAGAGAAAAUUAAUAAAAACCACCUAGUAUUUUAAAAGUGUAAAAUACACCCUUAUACUAUAUGUAAAAUUAAAAGUUUAAUUUAAGAUAUACAUGUAUAAGUAAAAGUCAGUCUUACCGUUAGUAGGCCUCAUUCAUGAAGCUGGUCUAUAAGGGGUGUUUAAGGAAAUUGCCUAUAAAAUGGCGAUUGAAUGAGUGUCCACUCUCACCCACCACACUCUUGACUAGUGGAGGGUCGUUAGCCGAACGGGUAGGAUAGGACGCAACCUUACAUUAUAAUUAUAAUGAAUACAAAGUAGCUAAAAGUUUUUAUAAAUUACCCAAAUCUUAGUUACUUUAGGAAAAAUUUGAAUUUGGUGCUAAUCCAUGAAAUUACACUUUGCACCUUGCUGAGACGUUAGUGGAGCAUGUGUGGUUAACCGACACACUAAUUUGGGAUUGGUAAGGGUGGCAAAGGGUAACUUGAUGUUUGUCAUAGAUCAAUGGAUCGUGUGUGGCUAACCAACACAUUGAUUAGGUGAUGGUAACAUGAGUGUACCUAGUACAUUUGCAUGGUUAUUCACACCUUGUUUGUGAUCCUUGGCAUCCCAGUCACAAACUUGAAGGGCAUAAUCGAGAUUAAACAUGCCAUUGAAAAGUUCAAUGAAUCUCAAAAGAUCUAGGAGUUUCAAUUCAUUUAAAACUUAAACUUCUUUUUCGUUUUUCAUGGUGGAAAUUGGUAAAUCGUCAUUUACCCAUCUUCAAAUAUUCUGCAACCAGAUUAUGGCAUCCCUCUUAUGAGUUGUAGAGUAUUGUGUUGGAUCCUAGCCUUGAUAUUUCAUUUGGGUGCUAUAUCAAGGAUUCUUAUCAACUAACUUGAAUUUUCUCCCGUUUUAUAGAUGUAUGAUUCAAACUAUGGUCUUCCCAAAUCCCUUAGAACAAGUCUUCCUAAUGAAGAUGAUGUUCCACGAUUCGAUCGAGGAACACGAGAUCAUGCUUCACUUCCUCCACCUCCUCUAAUUUUUCUCCUUGAACCACAAGUUCAAAAGCUUGAAAAGUUCAAGCUCACUCAAGUCCUUUUGGCAAGUAAACAUGAAAAUGGAAAGUCUGUGUGUGCACACGUCUUAGAGAUGAAGUUGCUCAUUGACAGGUUGGGUAUGUUGGGUGUUGUUGUCUCCAAGGAGCUGGCUGUUGAUUGGGUUCUUCAGUCGCUUCUUGAAUCAUAUAGUGAGUUCGUUAAAGAGUACUAUAUGAUGGACCACGACGUGACCCUCAUUGAUCUCACCUAUUUGCUUAUUGCUGCUGAAUCAAUGAUGAUUUGGCGCACUGGUCAAGCAAAUUUGUCUGGUGGAUCAAUGUCCCAAACUUCCAUGGACAUUGAAAAUGAUGACAUUGGAAAUCUAGAAAAAGUAAAUUAUGAGAUAGUUCCUUGUGCCAUUCCAAAAGAGUCCAUUUGUUUAUAGUGCCAAAUGAAGGGACAUUGGUUACGAAGCUGCCCUGACUACCUGAGAGAUCUAAGAUAUGGGAGAGUCAAGAUGUAUGGCUCUGCUUCAGGUAAUAAAAUCCACUAUCUAACUCUUUUAAGUUCCUAUUUUAGAUUCUUAAUACAUGAUGUGAUAAGAUUGCAUUUUGAUGUUUUGUAGGAUUGAAGAAAAGAGUGGAAGCUUAAAGGAAGAAGUGAGUUGAAUCUGAUCGCGAAGAAAUGGAUUUCGAUCGCAUGGUCCGAAGAUCGGAUUUUUGAGCUACUACUUUAGAGUUAGGAUAGAUUGCUAAAGAAUAUUUACAUAGUUUUCACUUGUAAACUCAUUGUAAGGAAAAGUUUUUCCGCACUUUUAUAAAUAAAAUAAAUUUUUUGGUUUUGUAUUAUUUGUGUUUCCUUGCAAUGGCUUUUGUGAAAAUUGGUGUUUGAAUGUUUUUAUUGUUAGUAAUAUUGUGAAUGGAUUUGAUUCUUAAUUAUGUUAUUAAUGGCAAUGUCAAAUUUACCAAAUAACAAAAGAUUCUCAUCACCCGAGUUUCAAUUGGACAGAAACUUGGAAUCAUACAACUUGUAUUGUGUGAUGAAUGAGAACCUUUGUAUUUAGAAAGUUGAGACUAAUUCCUUGACAAAGAGUCAAGUGAAGGAAUAAGAGAUCGGGUACACUUGGUUGUAUGCUGGUCAAUUCCACCACAAAGAACGAUGAGACUAUUCUUCAUGAUUUACUAAGAGUAUAGUAAGCAUGGUUAUACUUAUAAGAUUAAGUGUAAUUCUGAGUUAUUGUUAAGGUUUCAAUGAAUAAUAGAACGAAUAAGAAGAAUCAAGUAGUCAGAAAGAUAAAAGUUUCUUCAAUCUGAAAAGAUGGGAGAGUACUUUUGUAUGAUGUUUUAUGAUCGUCUUAGUGAUUAUGAAACCAUAUCACAAUUGAUCCUCUAAGGAUACCUUAGUGCACUAGUAUGGCUAAGAAGAGGAAUCGUGAAUUGUUGAAAUGGUUAAAUCAAAAGGUGGAUCAUACUUCAUUCCAAAAUCAAGUCUUAGAGUUAUACUCCAAGAUUGUGACUUGAGUGACAUGUCUUAAGAAAGGUUUAUAACACCUAUCAAUUGUGGAAUUUGAAAAAGUUUUCAUAUUCCUGCACAUUUGAAAUUGGUAAGUUGUGAUGUCUUAGAUAACAGAAAGACCAACUAGGACCAAUUGUGUGGAGUGUUUUGUCUUGAUAAGAACCCACACUAACUCUUGAAUAUUUGUUUGCCAAUGAAUGUUUCUUGACAAGAGAGUCUAAUAUGUCAAGAGGAUAGUGGGAGUCUUAAUGGUCUUGAAUAAUUUCAUGAACAAAUCAAGAAUAAACCUAGUUGAUCGUCACUAGCACACGACUUGAGGUUUAUAACCUAUUGUGUUGACAUACUCUUAUUUCUGUGCCAUUCCAGUUGAGUUGACUAUGCAUGUGAGUUCCAUGAAUUCUCAUUUAAAUGCAUAGAGGCAAAGCACCUUAAUCAAUGAGAGUUCAUUGAUAUGUGUAGGAGAGCAGCUGAACAACUUGGAACACAUGGUGGGCACUUAUGCUGCCAAGUGGCAAGAAAUUGAGAUUGAACAAGUUAAGUCCAUAUGAGUUUGAUUUUGUCAUAGACCUUGUCUUAUGAUAAUGGUUGAAAUUGACAAAUUCACAUGUAUAGGAACACACACACACACUAUAAAAUCUAAGUGUUAUAAGGUUUCUCUCCAUUUCAUGAAAAUGAUUGUGAGGAAACGCUUUUACUGAGAGAGAUUUUAAGGAGAUAGUAGUCGUGUAAAUUGCAUUCUCAAAUUCUAUUAUGAUUACGACAUCCCUCUUCAUAGUUCGAAUUGUGAGAUUUGGCAAUUAGUUUGACCAUUUGAGACUUAUUGAUAUAAGUUCAUGAAUUGUUUAGACACACAUAUGAGCUAUCUAAGGAAAGGUGUACGAGUUUUAGAAGCCUAGAUAAAGUCUUAUCGAAGUAUCUAGUAUUAGAAAUAUGAAUUUUUGGAAGUCAACAAGUAUUGAUAUCUAGAAGUUCACCUGAUUUCUGAAUACAUGUCAAAGCUAGUGGGAGCAUAAGUGUUAUGCUAGUAUGGAUAUAAUUAUCAUGUUGGUGGAAGAAUGAUUAUUAUGAUUUACGAUUUAGCAAUGUUAAUUAUAGAAAACAAAAGUUUCAAUUUGCAAAGUUGCAAGGGUUGAAAAGUAGUUUUGCUAUAAUUAAGGGAGAAAAUAUUAUACUUCAUUUCAAAUCUAAAAGCGUAGAUCGAGGAAUUUUAAUCAUAUUUAGUCAAAUAUAUAUGAAUGUUAUGUUUGAAUGGUUCAAUAUAAGGGAAAUUCUAUAUAUGGAAAUGUUAAUUGCAUUCUCAAAUUCAAUUAUGAUUACGACAUCCCUCUUCAUAAUCUGAAUUGUGAAACCAUGGAAAAUAGAGACAUUAUAGUAGAGGAUUGGUCUAGUAUCAUGUCCUUAUGUGAGACUGAUGGGUUUUAGCCAUAAGAACUUUCCUAUGUGCGCAUGCGAAACCCUAAUGCUCGGAUCUAGGUUUUCGAAUUAAACAUGCUUUGAAUCCAAGACUUCUAAUGACUAUUUUGGUGUAAUAACAAUAUUGAAACAGAUCUAGAAUCAUACCUUUGAAUUCCUUGUUGACCUUGUUGUCUUGGAGCUUCUAGAGUCACAAUUGUCACUCCUCUAAUGGCUUACAAACACCAAAUAGCAAGGAGGAUGAUUUGGGAGAGAGGAGAGGGGAGGAAUUCGGCCAGGGUCUCUAUACUUUAGGUGAAGUACCGAAUUCCUUAUGCCAUAGGGUUUAUUUAUACUUGUAGACUCCUUAAGGGUUACAACCUAAACCCUAAUUGGAUAAUCUUCUCUUAAGGCUAUCCAAAUCCUUUCCAUAGAUAAGUAAUGGACGAUUUGAGCUAUCCUUUAGCAUAUAGAAUCCGUCCAAUCCAUAUCUAUAUGGAUUUACAGUCUAAAGUUUAACUAUCAAACAAUUGACAGUUUAUACCCUCUUGUUUAAUUAAUCUCUUUAAGUCACCAAAUUAAUUCCAAUUAAUUCUAUGACUUAUAUUAAUCAAAUAACAAUAUAUUAUUCUUUAUAUUAUUCUCAUAAUAUAUUAAUAAUAUUUACUCUCUCUUAAUAAAUCAUCCUAUCAAGUUGCUAUGGUGAAGGCAACCCAAAAGGACCAUGCACAACCGGGUCAAAUACUUGCCUAAUAUAGUUGCAGCCUUAGACACUAUUCCAACAGUCUCCCACUUGGAUAAGUCUAGUAACUAUAUGCACAAGUACAAUUCGGUUUGCAAUCGUAGCUCUCAAAGACGCUGUCAAACUCUGAUCUAAUCAAUCUUGUCCUUUAGAUAAGGGAUCGUACAGUCCUCUGUUAGAUAUCAUGCUGACAAUCCUAUGGAAUGGUUAGUCAAGCAUUUAGGUUUCUCGAUCUCUGAUUUAUUUGACAUAGAACUUAAUCGAACACAUCAAUUCAGUUCUGACCGGGCCCGACACAUAAGUCAAAUCAAAUCAUCGAGCGGCCGAGAUAUCGCUUUUACCUUCUUAGAUAAAAGUUACAGAUAAACUUCGACUUAUAUGCAUUUACUUAUUCAUUUACCAACUAUACACAACAAUACGUUUUAUAACACCAAGUUACUGAUGCGUUUUCGUAUUAUCAAUGUACAAUCAAUUAACAAAUAAUAAACCAUAUAUCUAGGUUUUAAGACUAUAUGAUAUUAUCGUCUUGCGAUCACCUUUUAUAUCUUAUUCCAUAAGGUGAUUCCAGCAAGCGCGGGUUUAUUCCAAUGCUCAAAACUAGUUCAUAAGCACUCAUGAACGUUGCAGCAAUCCUUUGCUAUGUCUAACACCAUUUAGACAUUCUACACACCAAUUCAUGACAAUCUUCAUUCAUAUCUACUCCCAACAUAUGAACGAUUGUGGACCAUUUGAACAAUUCGAUUAUUCCUAAUAAACUCAAUUAUUCUGGAAGUCAAAACAUGCAAAGUGAAACAAUAGCUAAACAAUUAACAUAAGAUAGUAACAUUACUCAUAAAUAAAACUCCUUUAUUUAAUCAUCAAAUGUUAAUUACAUUUAUCUAUUACACGUUUCUAAUACUAUCUAAUCUAUGCUAAUAUCAUCCUUCAGCCCAAUACUCCUAGCAUGCUGCAAGUGCUUAACCCUACUCAGUCCCUUCGUAAGCGGAUCUGCUGGGUUAUCUUCUGAUGAUAUCCUCUUCACUACGAGUUGUCCUUCUUCUACACGAUGUCUAAUGAAGUGAUAUUUUCUGUCGAUAUGUCUUGAUCUACCAUGAUCCCUCGGUUCCUUGGUCAAGGCAACCGCUCCUUCGUUAUCACAGAAAAUCUCCAUGGGCUCCUUUAUGGCAGGUACAACUCCAAGAUCACCGAUGAAGUUCUUUAGCCAUAUUGCCUCCUUCGACGCUUCGCUCGCUGCAAUGUACUCUGAUUCGCACGUUGAAUCAGCUACGGUUUCCUGCUUGGAACUCUUCCAUGUCACUGCUCCUCCAUUUAGGGUAAAGACCCAGCCCGACUGCGAACGGUAGUUGUCCCUGUCGGUCUGAAAACUGGCGUCACUAUACCCUCGCACCUUCAAGUCAUCACUCCCUCCGAGGACUAAGAACCAUUCCUUCGUCCUCCGAAGGUACUUAAGGAUAUUCUUCACCGCAAUCCAAUGUGCUUUGCCAGGAUUCCCUUGAUAUCUGCUAACCAUGCUCAAAGCGAAGGCUACAUCAGGGCGAGUACAAGUCAUAGCGUACAUGAUUGAGCCAACUGCGGAAGCGUAUGGUACUCGGCUCAUUUCUGCUAUCUCAGCUUCGGUACUCGGACUUUGAGUCUUACUCAAUUUGGCAUUACUUUGUAUCGGUAGUUCUCCCUUCUUUGAGUUUUCCAUACUAAAACGUUUUAGUACCUUCUCUAAGUAAGUAUUCUGACUAAGUCCAAUUAGUCUCUUACUUCUUUCUCUUACUAUCCUUAUUCCCAAAAUGUAAGAAGCCUCUCCGAGGUCCUUCAUAGCGAAGCACUUCCCGAGCCAGGACUUAACCUCCUGCAGAGUCGGGAUGUCGUUUCCUAUGAGUAAUAUGUCAUCGACAUAUAGAACGAGGAAGCUUACUAUACUCCCACUGGCUUUGACAUAUACACAAGAUUCGUCUUCGCUUCGUACAAAUCCAAACUCUUUGACUUUCUCAUCGAAGCAAAGAUUCCAUCUGCGAGACGCUUGCUUAAGUCCAUAAAUGGACUUCUCAAGCUUACACACUCUAUCCGGAUGCUUCGGAUCCACAAACCCCUCUGGCUGAGCCAUGUAAACAUCCUCAGCCAACUUUCCGUUAAGGAAAGCGGUCUUGACAUCCAUUUGCCAAAUCUCAUAAUCAUGAAAUGCGGCAAUUGCUAGCAUCACUCUAAUAGAUUUAAUCUUCGCAACUGGUGAGAAGGUCUCAUCAUAGUCAACUCCGGGAGUUUGAGUAAAGCCCUUCGCAACCAAUCGCGCUUUAUAUGUGUGUACGUUUCCAUCCACGUCGGUCUUCUUCUUGAAGAUCCAUUUGCACCCAACGGUCUUACGUCCGGGCACAUAAUCAACCAAAUUCCAAACUUGGUUAUCAUACAUGGAUUGGAUCUCGCUAUCCAUUGCCUCUUUCCAUUUUGCAGACUCCGGGCCUGCCAUGGCUUCCUUAUAGCUAUUAGGUUCAUCAAGAUUUACUAGUGUACCAUCACUAAUAUACGUGUCCCCUUCGGUAGUAAUAUGAAAACCAUAAAACUGGGGAAGAACUCUAACUCUAUCGGAACGUCUAAGAGGUAAGGAUUCGUCAAUCGGUUCAACCGGAGUUUCCUCCUCGGGUUGAGUGCCAGCGGUAGAGGUUCCUUCAUCUAUCGACUCUUGAAUCUCUUCAAGUUCGAUUUGCCUCCCACUGUCUCCUUGGCUUAUGAGUUCUCGCUCUCGGAAAACUCCUCUCCUCGCAACGAAGACAACAUUGUCCUUCGGUCUAUAGAAGAGAUAUCCAAAGGAUGUCUGCGGGUAGCCGAUGAAAAUACAUCGCUCACUUCGAGGUUCAAGCUUGUCGUGAGUAUCUCGUCUUACGAAAGCCUCGCAACCCCAAACCUUGAUAUGUGCCAACGAGGGAGCUUUCCCUGUCCACAUCUCGUGAGGUGUUUUGGCAACCUUCUUAGUAGGGACUCGGUUAAGGAUAUGGGCGGCAGUCUCUAAGGCAUACCCCCAAAAAGAGAUUGGUAGUGAAGCACGACUCAUCAUAGAGCGAACCAUAUCCAAUAAGGUUCGAUUACGCCUUUCUGCCACACCAUUCAACUGCGGUGUCCUAGGAGGCGUCAAUUGUGAAACUAUUCCACACUCCUUGAGAUAAUCGUGGAAUUCAAGACUUAGGUACUCUCCUCCUCGAUCGGAUCGAAGCAUCUUGAUUUUCCUGCCCAAUUGAUUCUCCACUUCAUUCUUGAACUCUUUGAACUUUUCAAAGGUGUCUGACUUUUGCUUGAUUAAGUAGAUAUACCCAUAUCUACUAUAGUCAUCGGUAAAAGUCACAUAGAAGCGGUUCCCAUCCUUCGUGGUUGAUCUAAACGGUCCACAUACAUCGGUAUGUAUUAGGUCCAAUAGACCCUCGCCCCUUUCACAUGUACUCGUGAAGGGUGACUUAGUCAUCUUUCCAAGCAAACAAGACUCGCAUGUGUCAUCUUCCCUAAGGUCGAAUGACUCCAACACUCCAUCCUUUUGGAGUUGGGCUAUGCGUUUCUUGUUGACAUGUCCAAGACGACAAUGCCACAAGGAUGCUUUAUCCAUACUAGUGGAAGAAUCAAUAUUCAAAACAUCAUUUCCUAAGUUAUCAACAAUCAUAACAGUUUCAUAUAUUCCAUUACAUGGUAUAGCUUCAAAGUAAAAGACACCAUUUAGAUAAGCCAAAAUAGAACCAUUCUCAUUAUUAAAAGAAAAUCUAAAUCCUUGUCUAUAUAAACCAUGAAAUGAAAUGAUGUUUCUAGCCAUUUCUGGCGAAUAGCAACAAUUGUUCAAAUCUAAAACCAAACUAUUCCUAAGCACUAAAGAAUACACUCCAAUCUUGGUCACAGGCGACGAUCUUCUGUUCCCCAUGAUUAGAUUGAUCCUUCCUUGCUCCACAUCCCUACUUCUUCUUAGUCCCUGCACAUUAGAACAAAUGUGGUAACCACAACCGGUAUCAAGAACCCAAGAAAUAGCAUGAUUAGAAUCGUUAGAUUUAAUUGUGUAUAUACCUGCGAAAGACGGCUUGAUCUUUCCUUCCUUGAUGGCUUGCAGGUACUCUGGGCAGCUUCUCUUCCAAUGUCCUAUCUUGUGGCAGUGGUGGCACUCUGCCUCCUUCGGGUUAGGGCAGGGCUUAGCAGGAUCAACUUUGGUCCCACUAGAAGAGGCACCAUCUCGGGCUUUCACCUUGCGAUAGUUCUUCGAUGAAGCUUUCCUCUUCUUUCCCUUUCCUUGUCCAAUAGCCAAGACAGGAGCAGCGGGCGGAUUGGGAGUUGGUGCAACAGACUUGUCCUUGAAGUUGCUCUCAGCGACCCUCAAGAGACCUUGGAGUUUGCUUAGGGUGACCUCCUCUUUGUUCAUGUGGUAGGUCAUCCUAAAUUGAUUGUACCUCGGAGGCAAAGAGUGAAGCACCAUGUCGAUCGCCAAGUCUUCCCCAAAGUCAACAUUUAACUUGCGAAGGCGGUCGACAUACCUUUGCAUCUUUUGCAGGUGCACGGUAAGAGACUCUCCAUGACCCAUCUUAGCGGAAAUCAUGUUAGUGAAAAUCUCAUAACGCUCUUGUCUCGCGUUUUGGUGGUAUCUCUCCAAUAAGUCUUGAUGCAUCUCGUACGGGUACAUGUCCUCAUAGGACUUUUGGAAUUCGGAGUUCAUGGUGGCUAUCAUGAUGCAAUGUACCUUCGUUGCAUCGCGCUCAUGAGUUUCAAAAGCGGUCAUUUCAGCCGGAGUAGCGAUUUCAGGGUUGAUUUUCUCGAGCUUCUCAUCGAGGACAUACUCCUUAUCCUCAUAGCGAGCAAUGGUGCGAAUGUAUCUUAUCCAUUCGCUAAAGUUCGUCCCAUCGAAAGUGACCUUUUGACAAAGGCUCAUCAAUGUGAAAGAACUAGCAGCAGCGUUGUUUGCGUUCGACAUCUACAAAUAGAAAGGACAAAGAUAGAUUAGAAUAUGAAUCCCUAAUUAUCACCCAAUAAGAAAAAUUAGGGCUAGGAUCCAACAACAAUAUUUACAUAUUAGAAAAGGGAUGCCGUAAUCUAACAUGCAAAUAAUUUGAAGGUAAGUGAAUGACGAUUCACUAAUUCUCCACCAUAAAAACCUAACUAUAAGUCCUAAAUGUAUUGAGAAUUCCUAGGUUCGGAUGAGAUUCAUUGAAACUAUUCAAUGGCAUGUUUAAAUCUCGAUAUGCCCCUCUUGUUUGUGACUGGGAUACCGAGGAUCACAAAGCGGGUGUGAAUUACCAUGCAAAUUCACAUGGUGCCUUCAUUGUAACGAUCACCUAUUCGAUGUGCCGGUAAACCACACACGCUCCAUCGAACUAUGAUAAACAAUGAAUCACCCUUUGCCACCUUUGCUUAGAACCAAUUAGUGUGCCGGUAAACCACACACGCUCCACUAACUUCUUAGCAAGGGUGCAAAGUGUAAUUUCAUGGGAUUGCAUCAAUUCACUUUUCCUAAAGUAACUAGGAUUGGGAAAUUUUAAAAUAUGUGUAGUUACUUUGUAUUUCUUAUUAUACUUUUAAUGAGAGGAUGAGGUUGCCCUAUCCUACCCGUUCGGCUAACGACCCUCCACCGAUCAAGCAAGCGGUGGGUGUGAGUGUACACCCAUUAAGCGCCAUUUUAUAGGCCGCAACCUUAU